GUAAAAAAUAUUGGGGACGUCUGAUUGGUACAUUUUCUUUUUCUUGGGAAUUUUGAUGUUAUGACAAGAUCUCUGCAUGUUAUGUUUUAAGAACUACUUGCUUUUUAUUUUUAACUAUUAAAGCUGUUAUGGCCUACAAAUGCUGUAAAACUUGACACUUCUAUUAUUAUAAACACGUUUCAUUACAAUUCUAUUGUAAUUAAACUUUCUUUUCUUCUCUUUUUGGCACUUUUGUAACGGGGCUAGUUUGCAGAGCAGACAAAUGAAAAGCACAAUGACCGUCUUUGUUUCCUUCUGGCUUUAUGUCAGCAUAGCAGGCUUGCAGCUCUCUACGGUAAGCAUGUUCUGUUUAUUUUUUUUCACUAAAUCAAUAAAAUAUUUUUAUUAUAAGAUUAAUUUUAAGAAAAAAUAUUGAUCUCAUGGAUUUAGAGUUGGAUUAUGUUUGGAAUUGGAAUAAUGUGUUCAUGCACAUAUGAUGUUUGAUGAAGUUCGCAUAAGAUUGAUUCAAUUAUAUAAGUUUUUGAUGCUGAAUUAAGUGGAGCAAAAACUUUUAUCAAUGGGUUGAUUUCUGUUAUGCAGGUGCUGUUUUUACUGCUUUUUUUGCAGAAACACAGCACCUCAAAGUUUUCAGGCGCUGCUUAGCAGCUGUUAUGUAGUAAAAAUAACAUUUGGAAACAAUAUAUAUCUAAUUCUGCCUAAGAAUUUAGAUCAUGCAUUUGAAAUUUGAAUAUAUAUUUUUUUGGGGCCUUUUUUUCUAAUAUCAUUUGUUUUUUCCCCUUGUAUGCAGAGAUCCAUGAAAUCUAAAUCUCAAAUUAGUCGCAUCUGAAGUUUAACUUUUGGAAGCUAUAAAUUGAUUUAAUUUUGUAUUAGUUCUAUUGAUGUUAAAAAUU
Molecule: long non-coding RNA, 890 nt
Filed under: Citrus sinensis (sweet orange)
Lineage: Eukaryota; Viridiplantae; Streptophyta; Magnoliopsida; Sapindales; Rutaceae
Description: long non-coding RNA (CSIN_LNC002346)
Source: RNAcentral